GACGAACGCUGGCGGCGUGCUUAACACAUGCAAGUCGAACGGAAAGGCCCUGCUUUUGUGGGGUGCUCGAGUGGCGAACGGGUGAGUAACACGUGAGUAACCUGCCCUUGACUUUGGGAUAACUUCAGGAAACUGGGGCUAAUACCUGAUAGGAUCUCCUGCUGCAUGGUGGGGGUUGGAAAGUUUCGGCGGUUGGGGAUGGACUCGCGGCUUAUCCGCUUGUUGGUGGGGUAGUGGCUUACCAAGGCUUUGACGGGUAGCCGGCAUGAGAGGGUGACCGGCCACAUUGGGACUGAGAUACGGACCAGAAUGCUACGGGAGGCAGCAGUGGGGAAUAUUGCACAAUGGGCGGAAGCCUGAUGCAGAAACGCCGCGUGCGGGAUGACGGCCUUCGGGUUGUAAACCGCUUUCGCCUGUGACGAAGCGUGAGUGACGGUAAUGGGUAAAGAAGCACCGGCUAACUACGUG
RNAcentral lists this ribosomal RNA (468 nucleotides) under uncultured bacterium. RNAcentral describes it as "partial 16S ribosomal RNA". It matches the Rfam family "Bacterial small subunit ribosomal RNA", at positions 28 to 507 of the family's 1533-position model. The record is from RNAcentral.